UUCUUUCCUUCUUGGUGAUCUGAUUCAGAUCCCAUCGGAUCUAUGUGAAAGAGUUCACGCAGCGAUCUUCAUCUUCCAGAUCUAAAAGAAGAGAUGUUGAUCUAAGGCUAAAGAGCGAGAUCUGUAAGGUGCUAGUACACCGAUGAUCUCGAUGCUUCAAUCAGGUCUCUCUGUGUGGAUACCAACAAAGAUCAGAUAUGUGUGUGGCUA
Molecule: long non-coding RNA, 210 nt
Filed under: Elaeis guineensis (African oil palm)
Lineage: Eukaryota; Viridiplantae; Streptophyta; Magnoliopsida; Arecales; Arecaceae
Description: long non-coding RNA (EGUI_LNC054282)
Source: RNAcentral